RNAcentral lists this ribosomal RNA (1164 nucleotides) under Arthrobacter sp. RNAcentral describes it as "bacterial SSU rRNA". It matches the Rfam family "Bacterial small subunit ribosomal RNA", at positions 287 to 1461 of the family's 1533-position model. The record is from RNAcentral. Lineage: Bacteria; Bacillati; Actinomycetota; Actinomycetes; Micrococcales; Micrococcaceae.
CCGCCUGAGAGGGUGGACGGCCACACUGGGACUGAGACACGGCCCAGACUCCUACGGGAGGCAGCAGUGGGGAAUAUUGCACAAUGGGCGCAAGCCUGAUGCAGCGACGCCGCGUGAGGGAUGAAGGCCUUCGGGUUGUAAACCUCUUUCAGUAGGGAAGAAGCGAAAGUGACGGUACCUGCAGAAGAAGCGCCGGCUAACUACGUGCCAGCAGCCGCGGUAAUACGUAGGGCGCAAGCGUUAUCCGGAAUUAUUGGGCGUAAAGAGCUCGUAGGCGGUUUGUCGCGUCUGCCGUGAAAGUCCGGGGCUUAACCCCGGAUCUGCGGUGGGUACGGGCAGACUUGAGUGAUGUAGGGGAGACUGGAAUUCCUGGUGUAGCGGUGAAAUGCGCAGAUAUCAGGAGGAACACCGAUGGCGAAGGCAGGUCUCUGGGCAUUAACUGACGCUGAGGAGCGAAAGCAUGGGGAGCGAACAGGAUUAGAUACCCUGGUAGUCCAUGCCGUAAACGUUGGGCACUAGGUGUGGGGGACAUUCCACGUUUUCCGCGCCGUAGCUAACGCAUUAAGUGCCCCGCCUGGGGAGUACGGCCGCAAGGCUAAAACUCAAAGGAAUUGACGGGGGCCCGCACAAGCGGCGGAGCAUGCGGAUUAAUUCGAUGCAACGCGAAGAACCUUACCAAGGCUUGACAUGAACCGGAACGGCGCAGAGAUGUGUCGGCCACUUGUGGCCGGUUUACAGGUGGUGCAUGGUUGUCGUCAGCUCGUGUCGUGAGAUGUUGGGUUAAGUCCCGCAACGAGCGCAACCCUCGUUCCAUGUUGCCAGCGGGUUAUGCCGGGGACUCAUGGGAGACUGCCGGGGUCAACUCGGAGGAAGGUGGGGACGACGUCAAAUCAUCAUGCCCCUUAUGUCUUGGGCUUCACGCAUGCUACAAUGGCCGGUACAAAGGGUUGCGAUGCUGUGAGGUGGAGCUAAUCCCAAAAAGCCGGUCUCAGUUCGGAUUGAGGUCUGCAACUCGACCUCAUGAAGUCGGAGUCGCUAGUAAUCGCAGAUCAGCAACGCUGCGGUGAAUACGUUCCCGGGCCUUGUACACACCGCCCGUCAAGUCACGAAAGUUGGUAACACCCGAAGCCGGUGGCCUAACCCGUAAGGGGGGAGCCGUCGAAG